RNAcentral lists this ribosomal RNA (253 nucleotides) under uncultured bacterium. RNAcentral describes it as "partial 16S ribosomal RNA". It matches the Rfam family "Bacterial small subunit ribosomal RNA", at positions 524 to 776 of the family's 1533-position model. The record is from RNAcentral.
UACAGAGGAUGCAAGCGUUAUCCGGAAUGAUUGGGCGUAAAGCGUCUGUAGGUGGCUUUUUAAGUCCGCCGUCAAAUCCCAGGGCUCAACUCUGGACAGGCGGUGGAAACUACCAAGCUGGAGUACGGUAGGGGCAGAGGGAAUUUCCGGUGGAGCGGUGAAAUGCGUAGAGAUCAGGAAGAACACCGGUGGCGAAAGCGCUCUGCUGGACCUUAACUGACACUGAGGGACGAAAGCUAGGGGAGCGAAUGGG